This is a long non-coding RNA of Salvia splendens (bonfire salvia), 429 nucleotides long. RefSeq lists it as uncharacterized. The transcript has 2 exons. The record is from RefSeq and is a predicted model, not a curated record. Lineage: Eukaryota; Viridiplantae; Streptophyta; Magnoliopsida; Lamiales; Lamiaceae.
UUUUCUAAUUUAAUUUGCUUCCUCCUUCCAGAAUUCAUAUUUUGCUCUGUAGUGUAAUUCAUCGGUAAAAAUUAAUCAAUUUCCAUCUCUGACAAGGUGGGAAUUCUAGAUUGGAGAUGUGUAGACAUUGUUGUGAUUGUCUUGUCCAUUGCUUUGGUUUAAUUGUGAUGGAAUCAGAUGAAAAAAUUCUUUGAGUCGAGCUUAGAAGGGUUGCUGCGUGAUUGCUGUGUGUUGAAUGUUACUUUGCUCAAGGACGAGUAAGAGUUCAAGUUUUGAGGUAUUUGAUGCGAAUCAAAUAUACUAUUCUUCCUCUCAUCUUUCAUAUGCUAUAUCACAUUUAUAGGCUCAUAGAGGUGCAUUUUCCAUGUUAUAAAAACAUGAGUACUCAUAAAUAAACUACAAAGAUGGAAACAUAACCAUCUUCCAACA